UACGGGGGGGGCAAGCGUUGUUCGGAAUUACUGGGCGUAAAGGGCUCGUAGGCGGCCAACUAAGUCAGACGUGAAAUCCCUCGGCUUAACCGGGGAACUGCAUCUGAUACUGGAUGGCUUGAGUUCGGGAGAGGGAUGCAGAAUUCCAGGUGUAGCGGUGAAAUGCGUAGAUAUCUGGAGGAACACCGGUGGCGAAGGCGGCAUCCUGGACCGACACUGACGCUGAGGAGCGAAAGCCAGGGGAGCAAACGGG
This 253-nucleotide ribosomal RNA is filed under the name uncultured bacterium. RNAcentral's name for it is "partial 16S ribosomal RNA". It matches the Rfam family "Bacterial small subunit ribosomal RNA", at positions 524 to 776 of the family's 1533-position model. The record is from RNAcentral.